CUUUGUGUAUUUCUCGCGCAAAAGACAGAGGUAGCCAUUUUUCCACCCGGUCUUACUGAAAAAAUCUCUGUUCCGGUUGGUAUAUUAUCGAAUAGAUAUUUGAAAAACACCUUGAGGAUUGAUUAUAAACAACGUUUGCCAUGUUUCUGUCAAUAUUAUGGAGCUAAUUUGGAAUAUUUUUCGGUGUUGUUGUGACCACAAUUUCCGGUCGUUUUCUCAGCCAAACGUGAAGAACUAAAGGAGCUAUUUUUGGCUACAAAAAUAUUUUUUCUGGAAAAAAGGAACAUUUGCUAUCUAACUGGGAGUCUCGUGAGAGAAAACAUCUGAAGCUCAUCAAAGUUUUUCGUUAAAUCCAAUUAAGGCGAGGAAAGUGCUUUGUGGCUCCACUCCACCCUCAUUAUGCAUGGGGCUCUUUAGGAGGAAAGGCUCAAGGAUUCCUGUGAGUUGGUGUGAAUAAUUACAAACUGCUGGGAGGGAGGGAGCAGAGGAACAGAACACAGGCCAGAUGUGCUGAUCCAUCUACAACACCAACAGCGUCGAGUGCUCUCAUCUGCCGGAUAGCUCAGCCAGGGAUUCACCAGCCUCUCUUCUUAUUGCUCCUGAGAUCCUCUUUUCUAUCCUUCCCCAUUCUCUCUUCUUCUCCCCCUCUUCCUCCUCUUCUCUCCUUUCUCCUUUUCUUCUCUCCUCUUCUCACCUCCUCCACGGUAGAGGAAGGCAGCCAGUCUCGGAAGGAGGGCUUGAAGAGGGAGACUGCGAAAGUCCAGGCACUGCUGCUCCCUUUGUCCUGAGUGUUUGCAGUGCUAGUGUUUGCCCAGUAUGACAACAUGACAAUAACAGUACCUGUAGAUAAUGUAAUGAAAAGUUGGAGGAUGGUUGGUAAUGGGGGGCAUCAGGUGGAUCCACGUCUGGGUGGUAGGUAGAACCCCUACGUCCUGGAGAACAGGAGCAGAGUUAAAGGGAACAGGUUAGGAGACAGAGACGUAAACGAGCAAACAUACAGGUUACAGGUUGAUCAGGUAUGUGAAAAUAUAAUUAUUGAUUGAUUUAACUUAAAAUAAAUGUUCGAUUAGAC
This is a long non-coding RNA of Oncorhynchus tshawytscha (Chinook salmon), 1072 nucleotides long. Lineage: Eukaryota; Metazoa; Chordata; Actinopteri; Salmoniformes; Salmonidae. The record is from Ensembl.